Molecule: ribosomal RNA, 429 nt
Filed under: Bacteroidota bacterium
Lineage: Bacteria; Pseudomonadati; Bacteroidota
Description: Bacteroidetes bacterium partial 16S ribosomal RNA
Rfam family: Bacterial small subunit ribosomal RNA
Source: RNAcentral
UAGGGAAUCUUCCGCAAUGGACGCAAGUCUGACGGAGCAACGCCGCGUGAGUGAAGAAGGAUUUCGGUUCGUAAAACUCUGUUGUUAGAGAAGAACAGCGCAUAGAGUAACUGUUAUGCGUGUGACGGUAUCUAACCAGAAAGCCACGGCUAACUACGUGCCAGCAGCCGCGGUAAUACGUAGGUGGCAAGCGUUGUCCGGAUUUAUUGGGGGUAAAGCGAGCGCAGGCGGUUAAUUAAGUCUGAUGUGAAAGCCCCCGGCUCAACCGGGGAGGGUCAUUGGAAACUGGUUGACUUGAGUGCAGAAGAGGAGAGUGAAAUUCCAUGUGUAGCGGUGAAAUGCGUAGAUAUAUGGAGGAACACCAGUGGCGAAGGCGACUCUCUGGUCUGUAACUGACGCUGAGGGUCGAAAGCGUGGGGAGCAAACAGG